GAUGAACGCUGGCGGCGUGCUUAACACAUGCAAGUCGAACGGACGGAUUGGAGCUUGCUCCAUGAAGUUAGUGGCGGACGGGUGAGUAAACGCGUGGGUAACCUGCCCUAUGCAGGGGGAUAACGUUUGGAACGAACGCUAAUACCGCAUAAUCUAGUUGGUUCGCAUGAACCGACUAACAAAGAUUUUAUCGGCAUAGGAUGGACCCGCGUUGGAUUAGCUAGUUGGUGAGAUAACAGCCCACCAAGGCAACGAUCCAUAGCCGGCCUGAGAGGGUGAACGGCCACACUGGGACUGAGACACGGCCCAGACUCCUACGGGAGGCAGCAGUGGGGAAUAUUGCACAAUGGGCGCAAGCCUGAUGCAGCGACGCCGCGUGAAGGAUGAAGGUCUUCGGAUCGUAAAACUUCUAUCAGCAGGGAAGAAACAAUGACGGUACCCUGACUAAGAAGCCCCGGCUAACUACGUGCCAAGCAGCCGCUGUAAC
Molecule: ribosomal RNA, 487 nt
Filed under: uncultured bacterium
Lineage: Bacteria
Description: bacterial SSU rRNA
Rfam family: Bacterial small subunit ribosomal RNA
Source: RNAcentral